RNAcentral lists this ribosomal RNA (467 nucleotides) under Bacillus thuringiensis. Its description in RNAcentral is "bacterial SSU rRNA". It matches the Rfam family "Bacterial small subunit ribosomal RNA", at positions 931 to 1399 of the family's 1533-position model. Lineage: Bacteria; Bacillati; Bacillota; Bacilli; Caryophanales; Bacillaceae. The record is from RNAcentral.
CACGGGACAUGUGGUUUAUUCGAAGCAACGCGAAGAACCUUACCAGGUCUCGACAUCCCGUUGACCACUGUAGAGAUAUGGUUUCCCCUUCGGGGGCAACGGUGACAGGUGGUGCAUGGUUGUCGUCAGCUCGUGUCGUGAGAUGUUGGGUUAAGUCCCGCAACGAGCGCAACCCUCGAUCUGAGUUGCCAUCAUUUAGUUGGGCACUCAAAGGUGACUGCCGGCGACAAACCGGAGGAAGGUGGGGACGACGUCAAAUCAUCAUGCCCCUUAUGACCUGGGCUACACACGUGCUACAAUGGACGAUACAAACGGUUGCCAACUCGCGAGAGGGAGCUAAUCCGAUAAAGUCGUUCUCAGUUCGGAUUGUAGGCUGCAACUCGCCUACACGAAGCCGGAAUCGCCAGAAAUCGCGGAUCAGCAUGCCGCGGCGAAUACGUUCCCGGGCCUGUACACACCGCCCUGUA